This is a long non-coding RNA of Caretta caretta (loggerhead turtle), 1730 nucleotides long. RefSeq lists it as uncharacterized. The record is from RefSeq and is a predicted model, not a curated record. NCBI's taxonomy places the organism in Eukaryota, Metazoa, Chordata, Testudines, Cheloniidae.
AUGAGGCGCCAGCAGCGACUCACCCACAGCUCCGCGCCCCAGCUCAUGGCGGCUCCGCGGGCAGCGCAGGCUGACGAGAACCGGGUCCGGGGUGGCUGCACAGGGCCGGGGUCUCCUGGGCGACCGGGGCAGGACGAGAGGCCCAGAUUGUGGCAGGUGGAAUUAACCAGAUCAAGGCUCCUCUUCACAUGCUCCUGAGACCUGCCCUUGAUGAGCCCAUCGUCAAGAUAUGGGAAAAUUUGGACCCCUCGACGUCUUAGCAGACCCCGGACGAGGCUGCCAUGGCCUUGGCAGCGGAGGCGGACAGAACUGCUUACGCGCCGACUGCGGUGUGUGCACGCCCAGCAAGCAAAGGGUGGCUCUGCUGUCCUUCAGCCCAUGCAGUCUCGCAUCUAUUUGGUCAGAGAACAGACCAUUCCCAUCAAAUGGGAGGUCUUGGAUGGAGGUCAGCAUCUCCUGGGAGAGUCGGAUGGUUUGAAGCCAGGAACUGCGCCUCAUCACCACAGCGGACGCUACCACACUGGCUGCCGAGUUUGCCACAUCCCACAACAUUUGCAGGGAGCACUCGGCUGCCAUACUGCCUUCCUGCACCAGAGUAUCAAACUCUUGGGCCAAGUCCUGCAGGAGGGACUCCUUAAACUUAUGGAGGGAGUCCCAUAAAUUAAAGAUGUAAUGGCCCAAGAGGGCCUAAUGAUUUACGACCCAAAACUGUAAACUGGUGGUAGAAUAAAUUUUCCUCCCAAACAAGUACAGUUGUUUGGUCUCUUUAUUUUUUGGGGUUGAGCUGGACCAACCCUGCUUUUCUUUCUCACUGGCCACUGAGACCACCAGUGAGCCGAGGGGAGGGUGGGUAUACAGAUAUUCAGAACUUUUGGCCAGCACAAUGUAUUUCUUUUCGGCCCAUUUUGAGGUGGGAGGGAUGGAGGAAGGGCUUUGCCAGAUGGACUUAGCAAUUCUGAAGGCCUCGUUGUGACGUUGCACCCCAUAAUGCUUUAUGGAAAUAUGCUUAUGAAUGUAAAUAUGACAACUGAAAUAUGUUUUAUGAUACAUAUGCCAUGUAACAUAUCUCUGCAAAGGUUAUGAUUUACUGAAUAUACUCAUCCUAUUCAUAUGCAUGUAGCAUUUUUGUAUUUGAAGUUAUGAAUAUUGGCUGUGUACUUGUCUCAGUUUAAGUAGCCUUAGUAAAGCAUUUGGUCAGCUUCUUGAGAAAGGAAUGUGCAAAUUAAGUGCCCAACCAAGAAACACUUAACUGACAGUAGAUCUUGGAAGACUUCCAAUCCACAUAAGUAGUCUUCCUGGAGACAUUCAAGAUAGCAUGUGGGCAAUGGCUAAUGCCUGUAAAAACGGAGUCAUGCAUGGACAUGUGACUUGCCCGUGUGACUCCAAAACUCCAUCUUGGAGCUGGAUUCUGUAUAAGAGAGAGGAGGGGGUCUCCACCCACAAGAGAAAGUCUAUUUAAGCCCCUGGGAGACCCCUCUAUUUUGUCUUCAGCUGGCUCAAGAGAUAGCCUCUCCACCCCCAAGGAUACCUGAAAGAAAGGAUAGUAACCACGGGGGUGUGAGUGAUUGCUGGACCCAGACUAGGACGAGCCUAGUCUGUAAAAGAAGCUUACUGGAACAUCUCUGAGGGUGAGAUUUCAUCUAUAUUCAGUUUCUUACUGAAUUAGGUUUAGACUUGUGUGUUGUGUUUUAUUUUGUUUGGUAAUUUACUUUGUUCUGUCUGUUAUUAGU